CGUCUCCGUCGUCGAAUUAGGGUUAUGGAGCAUUACCGUACAAAUCAGAACAAGUAACAUUAAUAUAGAAUAAUUAUGCAAGCUUAAAAUGCAUCAAUAACAAUUCCUUUUAAUUAUGGUAAAAACAUACUUACGAGCCUUAAACCGAGCUUACUGGAACCUAAAAACAUUUUGGGAAUGUAAUAGCCUAAAUUUGCCCAGCCCACAUACAGUUUAAAAAUUUAAAAAAAAAACAAAAACCAAAUUAAAGAAAAUAGUCCAUAAAGUCUGGUUACAAUAAAGCCUAAGCCAAUACAAUAGGCCUAAUUUCUAAAUACCCACCAAAACUCACCAACCCUAGCCCGAAUACCCCAUCUAGCCCAACUAUCAUGGCCCAAUGCAGCCCAACAUAACCAAAAACCCUAGCACCAAACAACUUUCAGCGCCGUCAAACCCAUGGCCUUUUCCGCGCGUGUUGCGCCUCUGCGCGCGUGCGUCUCCUCCACGCGCGAUGCCUUCACACGCCUCCACAUCCAC
This 516-nucleotide long non-coding RNA is filed under the name Gossypium raimondii (Peruvian cotton). RNAcentral's name for it is "long non-coding RNA (GRAI_LNC002758)". Lineage: Eukaryota; Viridiplantae; Streptophyta; Magnoliopsida; Malvales; Malvaceae. The record is from RNAcentral.